RNAcentral lists this ribosomal RNA (460 nucleotides) under uncultured bacterium. RNAcentral describes it as "partial 16S ribosomal RNA". It matches the Rfam family "Bacterial small subunit ribosomal RNA", at positions 338 to 795 of the family's 1533-position model. The record is from RNAcentral.
CCUACGGGCGGCAGCAGUGAGGAAUAUUGGUCAAUGGACGAGAGUCUGAACCAGCCAAGUAGCGUGAAGGAUGACUGCCCUAUGGAUUGUAAACUUCUUUUAUAUGGGAGUAAAAUGUUCCACGUGUGGGGUUUUGUAUGUACCCGAUGAAUAAGCAUCGGCUAACUCCGUGCCAGCAGCCGCGGUAAUACGGAGGAUCCGAGCGUUAUCCGGAUUUAUUGGGUUUAAAGGGAGCGUAGGUGGAAUGUUAAGUCAGUUGUUAAAGUUUGGGGCUCAACCGUAAAAUUGCAGUUGAAACUGGUAGUCUUGAGUACAGUAGAGGUGGGCGGAAUGCGUGGUGUAGCGGUGAAAUGCUUAGAUAUCACGAAGAACUCCGAUUGCGAAGGCAGCUUACCGGACUGCAACUGACACUGAGGCUCGAAAGUGUGGGUAUCAAACAGGAUUAGAUACCCGUGUAGUC